CCUCACGCAACACCGACAUUACUACCGACUGAGAACACACAGCACUUUUCAGCCAGCCGAUUACUCUUAUGAAAUUCUAUUUCUCUCUUCCUCGUACUUUAUCAUUCACCACUGCAACACCCUGAAUCCUGUGCCUACCAGAAGGGGAGCCUCAUCAUUGUCUUGCUUCAGUUAGGGAACUCUCUGUACCUUGCUUAGAUUUAUUAGAGACUUCUAUUGAGAAUCUCAACCUAAUGUUGUUUGUUGAUGGAUCACACCUCAGAAGUGAAACUGGAGAUUAUCAAACAGGAUAGGAUAUGCUCUCCUUUCGAAUCGAGUCCUCUACCUGAGGUAACAUCAGCCCAGAUGGCAGAAGUCGUUGAGCUUACUAGAGCUUGUCAACUAGCCAACGACCAGAGAGGAAACAGAUAUACAGAUGGCAAGUAAGCUCUUGGAGGAGUGCAUGACUUUGAGAUGCUUUUCUCACCUCUGCUGUAACCACCAUAAAAACGGACAGGAAGUUAAGGAACUUUUAGAUGUCCUCUUCCUUGCUAAAGCGGUGGCUAUUAUAGAGGUUGAGCCCACGUGAAAAGAGAUAAUAUGAAAGCUACAGCAAAUGCUCUAACAGGUCCUUAUGCCAAACAAGCUGCUUUAACCAAAGCUAGGAUCCUAUCUAAAUCCUCAAAGGAUAUAUUGCUGGGGGGAUUCAAAGAGGCCAUUAUAAAAUAUCAACGCAACAAAUACCGACAACAGACAACAAAAGCCGCCAUGUGCUUUUACAGGAAGCACAUGGGAAACAAAAUGACAUAGGAGGUUGAAAAUAAAGGGAUGAAAAACCAUAUGAAGCAAGUAAUAAAAGAAGGUUAAUUGCUAAUAUAUGACGAAGUAAUAUUCUACUACAUCAAAAGGCAAAAAGAAGAAAUAGAAAUAUUUUAUACUUAUUAAAGAAAAAUCAACUACAAACCUAUCUCCUUCAUGAGUAGUCCUACCCUGGUGGGGUGUAGGCUCAUUUCUGAGAAUGUUUUGCUCCAUGUCUGCGUCCUGCUUGGCUUUGGGUCUCUUCGCUUGGCAUUGGGUCUUCCCAGAAAAAAAUCUCUCUUGUGCUUCUCUUGUGUGUAUGUCUCUGUUAUUUUUUCUUGACACUUGUUAGCGUGGUGGUGAGAGAUGCAGGGACAAAGAUGUUUUCUGAUCCUAGGACUGGGCCUCAGUCCUGGCCAAUCCCUGUGCACCUGGCGCUGGGGGCGUGGCCUCACAAAUGGUCUUGCCCCUCCUCCAGACCUAGUGCUGGGCUUUGCUCUAGUCCUGCCCUUCUUCCAGGGGUAGAGCCUUUUUUUUUUCUCAGCUGAUUGCUUCAGCCCCCUCCAGUACAGUUUGUGUUGCUCUUCCUCCUGAAGAUUCAGGCUUUUGCUUCUUAGGGGAGAUAGGUCUUGGUGGAGUUUUAGCAGGGGCUGCCAUUCCCCUCCCCCAGCCAGCCCUCAGCUGAGCACCUGGUGGGGUUCCUGAGAGAAACACACCUGUAAGAGUUUGCAGAACUCCUCUGUGUCUGGGAUUCAUGUUCUUCACAUAGCCCCCACGCAGCCUUUAGGAAUUCCUUGAAAGCUGCUGUCUGAAUCUCCUGUGGACUUCCGUGGUGUCUGGUAGUCCGCCCCAGCCCUUCUUCCUGACUACCCAGGACAGAAAACAACAGCCUGAGUGGCUUCUAUCAAGACACCAGCAGAAAAGGGUAAAGUGCAGAGAAGGAGAGACCGCCUGAGAGGAAACUUGCUGCAUCUCAAAAUCCUACAGGGAAAAGCAAUGACCCACAGCUCCAUUAAAGACAAAAGAUGUCCUUCCAAACCCAGCGCAGGGUUGGGAGACAUUGGGCCAGGGAGAAGAGCAUAAAUCCAAUGGGAGAAGAACAGCAUACAAAUGACCUAAUUCAAACUCUGUGCCAUAAAGGCAGCAUCCUAAACAGUGCAGGGUGGUGGCAGAUCCAGGGUCCUGGAUCCUCCAGACGUGGGCUCAAGCCUCUGCUCUGUCACUUCCCAAAUCUUGGGAAGCUUACCCUCUCUCAACUUGUUUCCUCAUCUGUGAAAUGGAGAUAACUGUGCCUACCAUUCAAGGGCUUGUGAAUUUGAAUGCGAUAAUCCACGUGAAGUGCUGGCACUGAGGGGUGGUCAGCUUCAGACGCCUCUCAGAGGAGGCAGGGGUCUUCUUCUCUGGGGCCAACUGUGUGCUGGUUAUUGAUCUUGGUAAGCAGAGGACAUCCUGUUUUAGUUUUUCUCUAUAUUUCCAUUUUCUAGCAUUUUUACAGAUGCUCAACCUCACUCCUAAGGGAAAUGCAAAUUAAACUACACUGAAAUAGCAUUUUUCACCCAUCAGAUUGGCUAACAUCCUGAACAAAUUCUCAUGUAGAAGCCGUGAAGAAUCA
This is a long non-coding RNA of Equus asinus (donkey), 2389 nucleotides long. NCBI's taxonomy places the organism in Eukaryota, Metazoa, Chordata, Mammalia, Perissodactyla, Equidae. The record is from Ensembl.